This 9379-nucleotide long non-coding RNA is filed under the name Zostera marina. RNAcentral's name for it is "long non-coding RNA (ZMAR_LNC001202)". Lineage: Eukaryota; Viridiplantae; Streptophyta; Magnoliopsida; Alismatales; Zosteraceae. The record is from RNAcentral.
CGCACGUUCCCAUGUAUCAAAAGCCUUUGUAAAUAUCCUUUUGCGGAUGUAAAAUGGAAUGGUAGUGCCAGACGGAUCGAGGUAGAACUUCACUCUACGAACGUCUCUGACCCGGGCAGUAGCAGGGAUGACUGCACUACAGGUUUGUCCGGAUGAAGUUGUUAUGGAUGCGAGGAGGAAGAAACCAAGGAAGACAAGAUAUGACAUGGUGAAUUAAUGACAAAAAUUUAGUUUCAAGCUUUGGGAAAUUGUGAUGUGUUCAAACUCAUCAUACACACCCAUAUUUAUACAACUUUUCUACAAUGUGAAUUUAAUGAGUUGAGAAUAAAAUGUUGACCGUAUUAAAGAGGGUGGACCCGUUUAAUGAAUAUUGAUGUCGAAAAUAUUUUAUUUUAUCACAUCAAAAUAAGUAGACAGACUUCAUUCUAUAUAGAGUUAGGUGAUAUCUCAAUUCUCACUAUUAAAUCCAAUUCCAACGACCCCACAUUUGAUUUCUACUUAUUCAUUUUGUUUAUUAAUUUAUUUAAAUAUCAUUAAAUAUGCACAUUAACUUGUAAAUUGUAAUCGGAAUCGCAUAAAUUUAGAUUUUUAUAUAAUUAAAUUGAGAUUUUGAUAUAAUUAAAAAGAUUUUGAUGUAAACUGACUUUUCAUGUCGAGAAAAAAAAUAUAAUUAAUGUUGACAAAUUUAUUUGCCCUACCUACUAAUUCUUCUGAUCAUUUGCAAUUUAUUUGGUAUCGAUAUAUAUUAGUGUGUCCAAAUUAUCAUACAAUUUUGCAUAUAUUUGCAAGUUGAAUUUUACAACUGGAAAUAGAUUACAAUUUAAAAACUUUUUUAAUUAAAAAUAAAAUAUUUUUAUUUUCUAACUUUUCAUAUCGAGAAAAAUUUAUAAUUAAUAUUAACAAAUACUUUUGUCCUAACCAGUUGCUUUUCAAUUAUCAUUAAUUCGUUAUUACACAUAUUUGCGUGUCCAAAAUAUUUUAUUUUAUCACAACAAAAAAGUGGACAGACUUCAUUCUAUCUGAAGUUGGGUGAUAUCUCAAUUCUCACUAUUAAAUCCAAUUCCAACGACCCCACACAUGAGAUUUCUACUUGUUCAUUUUGGUUAUUAAUUUAUUUAAAUAUCAUUAAAUAUAUGCAUUAACUUGUAAAUUGUAAUCGGAAUCGCAUAAAUUUAGAUUUUUAUAUAAUUAAAUUGAGAUAUUGAUAUAAAUUAUUUUUUUAUAUAAUUAAAAAGAUUUUGAUGUAAAACUGACUUCUCACGUAGAGAAAAAAAUAUAUGAUUAAUGUUGACAAAUUUAUUUGCCCUACCUAAUAAAUCUUCAGAUCUUUUGCAAUUAAUUUGGUAUCGACACUUUAACGGAUCCAAAUAAUCAUACAAUUUUGCAUACAUUUGCAAGUUGAAUUUUAUCACUGAAAAUAGAUUGCAAUUUAUAAAUUAUUUUAAUUAAAAAUAAAAUAAAAAUAUAUUAUUUUUUCUUCUAAUUUUUUACAUCAAGAAAAAUUUAUAAUUAAUAUUGACAAAUACUCUUGUCCUAACUAGUUGCUUUUCAAUUAUCAUUAAUUCGUGAUUACACAUAUUUACGUGUCCAAAAUAUUUAUUUUAUCACAUCAAAAGAAGUGGUCAGACUUCAUUCUAUCUGAAGUUGGGUGAUAUCUCAAUUCUCACUAUUAAAUCCAAUUGCAACGACCCCACAUUUGAUUUCUAGUUGUUCAUUUUGGUUAUUAAUUUAUUUAAAUAUCAUUAAAUAUGUACAUUAACUUGUAAAUUGUAAUCCAACGUGAUCGUAUAAAUUAUUUUUUGAUAUAAUUAAAAAGAUUUUGAUGUAAACUGACUUUUUGCGUCGAUAAAAAAUAUAUAAUUAAUGUUGACAAAUUUAUUUGCUCUACCUACUAAAUCUUCUGAUCAUUUGGAAUUAAUUUGGUAUCGACACAUAUUAGUGUGUCCAAAUUAUCAUACAAUUUUGCAUAUAUUUGCAAGUUGAAUUUUAUCACUGAAAAUAGAUUACAAUUUAUAAAUUAUUUUAAUUAAAAAUAUUUUAUUUUUCUCUUCUAAUACCACAAAAUAUAUGGACAAACACAAGUACUUUAUCUAAAGUGGAAUGAUAUUCUCAUGCACCAUUAAAUCCAACCACACAUAAGGGUUCAUUUUAUCCAAACCCCAACCCCACAUUUUUCACCAUUAAUUCUCACAAUUAAAUCCAACCCCAAUCCCAAAUUUAAUUACAAGUUUUUUCUUUUAGGUCAAAAUUUAUUUAAAUGUCAUUAAAUAUGUGCAUAAACAUGUAAAUAAUAAUCUAAUGUAAAUAGUAUAAAAUAAGAUUUUUAUAUAUUUAAUAGAUUUGGAUUUAAACAGACUUUUCACGUAUAGAAAAAUAUAUAAUUAAUGUCAAACAAUUAACUUGCCCUACCCAAUAAUUCCUUUUGACCGCUUACAAUUAAUUUGAGAUCGACACAUAUUUGCGUGUCCAAAUUUGCAUACAAUUUUGUAUACAUUUGUAAGUUGAAUUUUAUCACAAAAAAUAGAUUACUAUUUAUAAACUAUUUUAAUUAAGAAAAAAUAAAAAUGUUUUAUUUUUCUCUUCUAACUUUUCACGUCGAGAAAAUUGUAUAAAUAAUAUUGACAAAUACCCUUGUUCUAACUAGUUACUUUUCACUUAUCAUCAAUUUAUGAUCGACACAUAUUUGAGUGUCCAAAUUAUUUUACUUUAUCAUACCAAAGUAAGUAGACAAACUUCAUUUUAUCUGAAGUUUAGUGAUAUCUCAAUUCUCACUAUUAAAUCCAAUUCCAACGACAUCAUAUUUAAUUACUAGUUGUUAAUUUUAGGUCAUAAUUUAUUUAAGUGCCAUUAAAUAUGUGCAUAAACUUGUAAAUUGCAACCCAAUGGCAUCUUAUAUAAAUUUAGAUUUUUAUAUAAUUAAAUUGAGAUUUGGAUAUAAACUAUUUUUUGAUAUAAUUAAAUAAAUUUUGAUGUAAAAUGACUUUUCACGUCAAGAAAAAAUGAUGUAAAUUUUUUAUUUUCCCUACCUAAUAAUUCUUCUGAUCAUUUGCAAUUAAUUUGAGAUCGACACAAAUUCUUCUGAAUUUUAUCACAGAAAAUAGAUUACAAUUUAUAAACUAUUUUAAUUAAUUUAAAUAAAAAUGUUUUAUUUUUUACUUCUAACUUUUUACGUCGAGAUUUUUUUUAUAAUUUUUGUUGACAAAUACCUUUGCCCUAACUAGUUAUUUUUGUAGAAUCUAAAUUGUUGAUGCAUAUUAUGUAUUGAUAAUCAUGUUUAGUUAACCAUUAUCAUGUUGUUAUUCCCUAGCUAGGAUAAAUUGAAUUUGAAUUAAACCUAAUUUCAAUUAGGUUUAAUUAUAUUAAACCUUAGAAUUAUUUGAGCAUGUCUAAAUAAAGUCAAAAUUCAAAGAACGAUUUUUAUGGUCAACAAGUCAACAUGUUGUAGUUGAGAAUCAAUAGGGUAAAUUGAUUUGAAUUAAACCUAAUCUCAAUCAGGCACAUAUUAACCUUAGAAUUAUUUGACCAUAUAAAAAUUCAAGUCAAAAGUCAAAACCCUAAUUUCGUGGUCAACAUGUCAACAUUGUGUAUUUGAGAAUUAUUCCUAAUUACCAUUAACUAUUCUUAAUCUUUGUCUUAUAGCAAAUUUCAAUAUAAGGAUGGAAAUAAUACAAAAGAGGAAUUCAUGUGAAUAAUACAAGAAAUACAUGGGUUGAAGAGAAGCUAAACCUUGAUUAAAGAUAAACUUAUCAUAGAACAAAGGAAAAAUAUCCAACCACAUUUUUUACUCUUGUGAAAGAUCAAGGAACUAUUGAUUCAAGAUCUAAUGGAGAAGAUCAUUUGGUCAAAGCUAUAAAUAGAGUGGUAUACCCAUUGCAAAAGCCAACCACGCUACAAGAGAUUUUCAAAUAUCAGCAUUGAGCCCCUCAUUUCCACUCUUAACGUCCACAACUUUCAAAAUCUCCAAGUUUCCAACGUUUUCAAAUUGUGUUCAAAUGUUCUUGUUCAAAGGUGUCAAAAGCUCUACACUUCUUCUUCUAAUCUUCUUGAGUGUUCAUAGCAAGUUUGAAGUGUUGUAAUCCUAAACUUUCUCCAUCAUUUUCGUGUGUAUUCCACUUUAGUUGAGAGAGUUGUCUCAAAAUCACCAAAGUGGAAAGGAGGGUUAUUAGGCUUAAUCAUAAAGCUCUAAGUUAGUUUUAUAGAGUUAUCUAGAAAACUCUUAGGUGCUAUACGUCUACCUGGAAAGACUUGGGAAAGUUUUAAGUUUACUUUAAAAACUUAAAUGGUUCGUAAGCAUUGUAGUCUGUAAAAAGCCUACAAAAGGUUCGUAAGCAUUCACUACAAGAAAAGAAAUCUACAACGACGAUUUUGGAUCAUCGCUCAAUUUUAAGAAGGAUUUUAAAGAAAACACACGAUGUUAGCGACGAUAUAAAAAUGAUCUUUUUUUGUAUAAUUAACGACGAUAUAUUGAUAAUCGUCGCUAAAUAUACGAAUUAUAGCAACGAUUUAAAAUUUAACGUCGCUAAUAAUGAGUACAAAUUUAUAAAAUUUUAUAACAAUAAGGUAUUUAUGUAAAAUGACCCUUUUAUAUAUAAUUGUCUUUUAUUAUAAAAUCCCAAAUUUCCCUUUCACUAAGCCUAAACGCUCCAUUUUCCCAAUCUCUCCUAUCGCCGAAUUUCCCCAAUCUCCCCUAUCACUGGAUUUUCCCGCCAGUCAUCAUCAACGGACGAUAGAUUUUCCUAUCGGUCAUCAUCAACGAACGCCGGCAUCAAUAUGGAGCAGAUAUGUUCAUUGGGUUUCUAGCUGUAUCUUCCCUAUUUCUGUUUGGAUUUCUUGUUGGAUUUCUGUUUGGGUUUGUCAUUGGAGCUUGUUUGCAUCUUUCUGUUUGGGUUUGAAUCCUUGCUAAUUCGUUUUACACAAUGUUUUGUUUCUGUUUGAAUCGUUGCAUCGUUUUGUUUCUGUUUGAAUCCUUGCAUCGUUCUAUUUGGAUUUGAAUCCUAGCAAAUUCGUUUUACACAAUGUUCUGUUUCUGUUUGAAUCCUUGCAUCGUUCUGUUUGGAUUUAUGUUUGGGUUAGGAUUUUAUACAAUAUCAAAUAUAAAACUAAUAUCCUUUAGAAAUGCCAAAUAGUUUCAAAUUAAGACAUCAAUUAUCAAUCAAUAAAAUUAAAAUACAAGCAUAUCACAAAAAAAAUACUCGAUAUAUUGAUUGCUGGCAAUUGGAGAUGGUGGAUCUCCAGGUUGUAGAUUUAUAAAGUAUUUAUUUUUAUUUGGGGAUUGGAAAUUCUGUUUGGAUUUAUGUUUGGUGGGAAUGGGCUGGGAUCAUGUACUUAUAAUCAUAGAAUCCACUAGAUCAUCAGAUUAUAAGUGAUUUUCAUACCGAACCAGACCUGAAUAGGGGUUAUAUACAUUCUCAUUAUGAGAGGGUUCUAGCAUAUGUAAAUGGAAUUACUCGUUUGAAUCAGUUUUACACAAUGUUGAAUCGGUUUAAUUCGUUUUACACAAUAUUCUGUUUCUGUUUGAAUCAGUCAUUAUAUUACUGUUGGUGUAUAGACUUGUCGGUGCAAGCUCAAAACCUCAACUCUCUCAAGUGUUCACUCUCUCGUAUUGUCAACCCCCUCCCCUGUUGGACCAGGAGAGAUAUUUAUAGUUUCUUCUCGCCGACCUCGGGCCUCGUGGGCUCGUGUGUUGGGCCCGUCCACUCGCCUGGGCCGCCGACAGGCCCUGUUCGGUCCAUGGUACCAACAGUACUCCCCUCUUCCUCGACGGGCCCGGGCCCGGGGGCCGCCUGUCCCCGUCCCGUCUACAACCACCUCCAUUAAAGCUCCUCGGUGUUUGAGCCCAUCCUCCUUCUCCUUCCUAUAAAUAGCCUACUCGACUCUUCAACUUCUCAUACCAUCCCCCCUUCCGCCAUGAGUGUUCAAGACAUCCUCGAAGAGUACGGUCGCGAAGUGCAACUUCAGCAUGCCGCCUGGGCCAUGUGCCUGAUGUCGCCCGCCGACGUCCCUAACAGCGUGGCCGUGGCCGAGACUCAACGUCUAAACGCCGUGUUGAUCGACGUCCAUCGUCACCUCUCCCAGGUUCGCCACUCCGACCUUCUCGCCUACCCCGGUACCGCUCUUGCCGCCGUCUCGGGCUCCGCCGGCACCUCGCGUGCCUUCAGCGCGUAUGGUAUGAUCACCGCUCCUGCUGUCGCCGCCGCUGCCGAUUCUCUGCCAAAGCGUCGUCGGUCGCGCGGCCAUCGCCGCUCCCGGGGGUCUUCGUCCCUUCCGGCUACUGACCUGUGCCACUUCCUGUCGGGGUCCUCGAAGUCGGCCCGUGAUGAAGCACGGAAUCUGCUACCAGUAGGCUCGCGGGGUGGCGAGAUGAUCCGGAGGCUGUGGAGUCCACGACGCGCGCUCUACGUCAAACACCUGCAGAAGAGGAGGGGAAUCGACGACUCACGUGGGAGUAGACGAUUCGGGCUCCUUGGUUGCUCUAGUGUGGAGUGUGAGUCAAGAGAGUAAGUCAUGGAUGGAGGACACCCCUAGGACCCCUUUUAUAGGGUCCUAGAGGCGUUUCCAUUCAAUGGAGUGGGGCCCACCUCAUUAUGGUGCCCUAUUGAAGGGUGCCAUAAUGGGGUGGGCCCGCCCGCGUAACGGUUGGGAGUCGCCGAUCCAGGAGUGGAGUCGCCGAUUCCUUGGAGGCCAAGUCCUCGGUCUACCAGACCCGAGAUCCCUGGCCGGAAUCGGCGAUUCACCCUUGGAGUCGGCGACUUGGUAGUCCCAGUCGGCGACUCCUAAGUGUUAACUUGGGCUUUUGACGUAGACACGUGCUUCGCACCGUGGAAGCCUUUCCAGGGGUCCGGCAUAUAGUGACGGAACCCUAUUCCUUGUUUGAAGGGCGUUGCUGGGAGUGACUGACGUAAUCAGGCAUGUCUCACCAGUACUCCCCCCUGAAGAGAGUAUGGCUGAACACCCGUGUACCGCCAGUAUCCCCCCCCAAGCAAGGUGAUCCGCAUCAAGGCCAAAGCGACAAGAUGGGAUCGAAUCAAUGUGGCCACAGCGACACAAUGACUCCGUUACCCAUGCACUAUUAGAUGGGUUGAUUCACUAUCAGAAUCUAGUUCCAGGCCAAUAGAACUACGUGUUUAUAGUCCAACUCUGAUCAGGAGCGACUCUUUCUGUGUUAUCAUCAAGGCCGAAGCGACAAGAUGAAGGGAGAUUAUUAAGGCCCAAAGCGACAAAAUAAUUCUCAUCCAUUAAGGCCAAAGCGACAAAAUGAAGCGACUCGCUAUCAGAGUCUGAUUCUGACCAAAGCGACAGAAUGCGUGGAUCCUGGCCAAAGCGACAAGAUCUAGUUCACUAUCAGAACUGAUGUUUAUAGUCCACCCUGAUCAAGAGCGACUUUACGUCCGCAACGACGGUUACCCCACUAAGGUCGAAACGACAAAGUGGGUCGAGAUCAUUAAGGCCAAAUCGACAAAAUGAUCUCCAAGUCUAUCAAGGCCAAAGCGAUAAGAUAAGAGAAUUAUUGAGGCCAAAGCGACAAAAUAAUUCUUGGUCCAUUGAGGCUAUAGCGACAAAAUGGACUGACUCGUUAUUAGAGUCUGAUUUUGGCCGAAGCGACAGAAUGCGUGGAUCCUGGCCAAAGCGACAGGAUCGUUCCUGCAAAACAACUACAUCAGUCUAAAGGAUAUAUUUAUUGACUUACUGACCUUGCCGUGCGGGGCUGCUCCUCGUGCUGCUCCUUCCUAUGCUCAAUAAAUCCUCGAUUGAUCUGGCCGAAGCGACAGAUCUAUCAUGCUCAUGGUGUGACAGCUUCUGGCCAAAGCGACAGAAGUGUCGGGAAGAGUUUAUGAUACUCCCCCCCGAAUUUGACAACUUCUGGCCAAAGCGACAAGAGUGUCGGGACGAGCUUAUGAUACCCCCCCUUGAGAUCAUUAAGGCCGAAGCGUCAAAAUGACCCCUGGUCUACUAAGGCCGAUGCGACGAAGCAGACCGACUCACUAUCAGAGUCUGAUUCUGACCAAGGCUACAGAUCCACUAUCAGGAUCUACCAACCUCUUAUUCAUGACUGUUCCCUUAUUGGCAGGAACAUUGCCUCGAUGGCGCAGGCCAAUAGCAUGUCCAAUCAGAUGUAAAGCCACUGAGUGCAGAUCUAAGGAAUUCUGAGGACGAGGAGGAGUAUCGCCUUUUGCCCAAAUCUCUCCUGAAUCAAAAGUGAGCUCUACUUGCGGACUUGGAGGAGCCGUGGCCGAAGCUACAUGAGGUCCAGGUAUUGGCAAGAAUUGAAGAACUAUGUUGGCCUGACUUUUCACCGAUGUCUGUGAAUAAAAUAUCGAUUAGAUGAGUAUUAUAUUGUUGAUGAUAAUUAUGUUACGUUAUAAAUAAAUAUGUAGAUGAGUAUUAGGAACUUACAAUUGCAAAAUUUACACACGUCUGAGCUUCCCAUGUAUCGAAAGCCUUUGUAAAUAUGUUUUUGCAGAUGUAAAAUGGAAAAGGACAAGUCGGAUCGAUGUAGAACUUCACUGUACCACACCCCCAUUUUGCACAAAAAGGAGUGAAGUCGUUAUUGACUGCACUACAGGUUUGUCCAGAUGAUGUUGUUAUGGAUGCGAGGAGGAAGAAACCAAGGAAGACAAGAUAUGACAUGGUGAAUUAAUGACUAGAAUUUAGUUUCAAGCUUUGGGAAAUUGUGUUGUGUUUAAACUCAUCAUACACACCCAUAUUUAUACAACUUUUUUACAAUGUGAAUUUAAUGAGUUGAGUAUAAAAUAUAGCCAUGUUCAAUGUAUAUUAAAACUUUUAUAAAAUUCAAAUGUAUCUGAGGAUCGUAUUAAAAAGAAUAUGUACGAUGAAUAAUUUGUGGACAUGCAUAUAUAUAUUUUCGUAACACAACUUCAAUCCGCAUAAAGUUAACGAUCUUAUCUUAAAAAAAUUGGUUGUAUUUUAAAUACAUAUUAUAAUUAUGUUUAUUAUACAAAAUUAAAUUUUAUUAUAUUUUAAGCAAAAUAAAUUACAAUUUAAUUAUAUACUAUUUUCUGAUAAAAUCGAAAAAAUAUCGCCAUUGACUGCACUACAGGUUUGUCCAGAUGAUGUUGUUAUGGAUGCGAGGAGGAAGAAACCAAGGAAGACAAGAUAUGACAUGGUGAAUUAAUGACUAGAAUUUAGUUUCAAGCUUUGGGAAAUUGUGUUGUGUUUAAACUCAUCAUACACACCCAUAUUUAUACAACUUUUUUACAAUGUGAAUUUAAUGAGUUGAGUAUAAAAUAUAGCCAUGUUCAAUGUAUAUUAAAACUUUUAUAAAAUUCAAAUGUAUCUGAGGAUCGUAUUAAAAAGAAUAUGUACGAUGAAUAAUUUGUGGACAUGCAUAUAUAUAUUUUCGUAACACAACUUCAAUCCG